UGGCAAAGCAGAUGUGCGUCACGUUCUAUAAAGUACCUGAUGCAUUGUAACUUAGAUCGUUAGGAUGAUUGUGUAUCAGCCUACUCAUAUAUUUGCUGCUUUCUGAUGUUAUUUCAUUUUUGGAUUCUGGAGUUACAACUCACAAACAACCCCUUUCUAUGUAUUUAUGUCUUUCUGGUUCUUAUUUGCGUCUGAUUCUGAGAUGAGUCAGACUAGAGCCGAAAAAUAAUCCAUAGUAAAUUGUUCACCAAAUAACUGAUAACUAUGUGUUGCCUAAUUUGUUGUGCAAUUGUGAGGAAUGCCAUUGUGGCUAUGAGGUUUGUAUCAAAAUUUCUUAUAGAUAUAAAACUACAAGCCAUUCAUUAUUUUGACUAAACUUCUAUCCUUCUGAUCACUGAUGUUUUUCAGCACAGCUAUACCUGAGACAAG
This 429-nucleotide unclassified non-coding RNA is filed under the name Hevea brasiliensis (rubber tree). Lineage: Eukaryota; Viridiplantae; Streptophyta; Magnoliopsida; Malpighiales; Euphorbiaceae. The record is from RNAcentral.